Molecule: ribosomal RNA, 292 nt
Filed under: uncultured bacterium
Lineage: Bacteria
Description: partial 16S ribosomal RNA
Rfam family: Bacterial small subunit ribosomal RNA
Source: RNAcentral
GUGCCAGCCGCCGCGGUAAUACGUAGGGUGCAAGCGUUGUUCGGAAUCACUGGGCGUAAAGAGAGCGUAGGCGGGAUUGUAAGUUAGGAGUUUAAUGCAUGGGCUUAACCCAUGAUCUGCUUUUAAUACUGCAGUUCUUGAGUAUGGGAGAGGGUGAUGGAAUUCCAGGUGUAGCGGUGGAAUGCGUAGAUAUCUGGAAGAACACCAGUAGCGAAGGCGGUCACCUGGCCCAAUACUGACGCUGAGGCUCGAAAGCUAGGGGAGCAAACAGGAUUAGAUACCCCUGUAGUCC